AAAUUGAAGAGUUUGAUCAUGGCUCAGAUUGAACGCUGGCGGCAGGCCUAACACAUGCAAGUCGAACGGUAACAGGAAGCAGCUUGCUGCUUCGCUGACGAGUGGCGGACGGGUGAGUAAUGUCUGGGAAACUGCCUGAUGGAGGGGGAUAACUACUGGAAACGGUAGCUAAUACCGCAUAACGUCGCAAGACCAAAGAGGGGGACCUUCGGGCCUCUUGCCAUCGGAUGUGCCCAGAUGGGAUUAGCUAGUAGGUGGGGUAACGGCUCACCUAGGCGACGAUCCCUAGCUGGUCUGAGAGG
Molecule: ribosomal RNA, 302 nt
Filed under: Escherichia coli
Lineage: Bacteria; Pseudomonadati; Pseudomonadota; Gammaproteobacteria; Enterobacterales; Enterobacteriaceae
Also listed under: 1 other name
Description: partial 16S ribosomal RNA
Rfam family: Bacterial small subunit ribosomal RNA
Source: RNAcentral